RNA transcript from Bombus impatiens (common eastern bumble bee), 921 nucleotides. It is a transcript of the gene named cytidine deaminase, with no coding region annotated. The record is from RefSeq and is a predicted model, not a curated record. NCBI's taxonomy places the organism in Eukaryota, Metazoa, Arthropoda, Insecta, Hymenoptera, Apidae. The transcript is spliced from 3 exons.
UGUUAUAUAGGACAAAUGAUCUUAUCUAAUAUCAAAUCUAGGCAAAAGAGCAUACGUAAGCAUACGUAAAUACAAGUUAAAUCGCAAUUAAACUUCCUAAAAAUACAUAUACAUAAUAUUUAAUAAAUCGUACCAAAAUGAAUACAGAAGAAAUUAUUGAUUUCACGGAUAUAGAACCAGAUAUUCAAUCUCUAAUAAAGAAGAGUGUAGCUGCUCGUGAGUACUCUUAUUCACCCUAUAGUAAAUUUAAAGUCGGAGCUGGAGUGCUUUGUACCGAUGGGAUCAUCUUCACAGGGUGCAAUGUAGAAAAUGCAUCUUAUCCUGUAGGAACAUGUGCUGAAAGAACAGCUAUUGUUAAAGCAGUGUCAGAAGGGAAAAGAAAGUUUAAAGUCCUAGCAGUUGUAGCUAAUAAAGUGAAUAAUAAUUUUACCACACCAUGUGGCUUUUGUAGACAAGCUAUCGCAGAGUUUGGUGAUAUACCAAUUUAUUUAGCAGAACCUUUAAUGAAGGAUGUGUUAAAAACUUCGCUAAGUAACCUAUUACCUUGUGCCUUUGGGUUGGGAAACGCAGAAACAUUACAAUAAAUUCUUAAUAAAAGAAGGCUAAACCACACACCAACGUCUAAAACAUCAUUUAGUAUUUCUUUAAAAUCAUAGUUCAUUUUUAUAUCAAUUGAUAUACUAGGAUAUUGUUCUGUCCUAUAAUAAAAAUGUGCAAACAUUGUUGUGUACAUUGUAUAAACUAUACAAAUUUCAAUAAAUACAAAGACAAUCCUUAAGAAAAAAAUAUUGUUACUAUAAUCUUAUUCCUGAGUAGAUCUUUUCAUGUUUACAUAAAAAUUGAUUAUCAUAUGGUUUCUAAAGCGUGUUUUUUCUAAUGUACAUUGUACUUUAUAAGCAGGAAUAACAUGAGUAUUAUAUA